Molecule: unclassified non-coding RNA, 329 nt
Filed under: soil metagenome
Description: partial contains 5.8S ribosomal RNA, internal transcribed spacer 2, and large subunit ribosomal RNA
Rfam family: 5.8S ribosomal RNA (bases 1-120)
Source: RNAcentral
GAUGAAGAACGUAGCGAAAUGCGAUAAGUAAUGUGAAUUGCAGAAUUCAGUGAAUCAUCGAAUCUUUGAACGCACAUUGCGCCCUCUGGUAUUCCGGGGGGCAUGCCUGUUCGAGCGUCAUUAUAACCACUCAAGCUCUCGCUUGGUAUUGGGGUUCGCGGUUCCGCGGCCCCUAAAAUCAGUGGCGGUGCCUGUCGGCUCUACGCGUAGUAAUACUCCUCGCGUCUGGGUCCGGUAGGUCUACUUGCCAGCAACCCCCAAUUUUUACAGGUUGAUCUCGGAUCAGGUAGGGAUACCCGCUGAACUUAAGCAUAUCAAUAAGCGGAGGA